Molecule: long non-coding RNA, 726 nt
Organism: Xenopus tropicalis (tropical clawed frog)
Lineage: Eukaryota; Metazoa; Chordata; Amphibia; Anura; Pipidae
Exons: 3
Source: RefSeq, a predicted model, not a curated record
CAGUCCUUAGUGGGUAAAACAGAAAACCUCCUAAACUGUCACAGGUCAAGGCAAGGAAAGGAGGGGGUGUCACGUGACUGUACCCCUAGCCAAUGGCGUCCCACCAUGCCUGACAGAUGUGCCUUAUAACAGGCUGGUCUCUCUUCCCUCCAGCUCAUAUAAGGUAAAAGAAAAAAGGUCUUUCCUCCCAGAUGGUAGCAGGGAAGCCCCUUGUCACAGAAGCUGCACAUACUAAAGGAAGUGCUUAUCCAAGGCAAGAGUCCCUCUCUGCUCUUCUCUUCAGUCAAGGGUUAAAUGUGUGGCCCCAAGUUUGCUCCUGGUAUGAAAAUUCUCUCUGGACAACGGGGCGUUCCUCCCUACUGUGAUGGAGUUACCAGCCCAACAUUUUCCGUGCCCCAGUGAAGAAGAUCUAUCCCAGAAAGCAGCAAGGCAACAUGUGAGACAUAAGGGAGAGCAGAUCUCAACUGGAAUUGUUAUCUAAUUUUAAGCGAAAAUGAGUAAUGGCAUCUCUAAACUUGUAAUUAAUUAUUUAAUAUUUUAAAGCAUCCAGUGACCAGGUGACUAAUUCCAGCUCCUUGUAUGGUUAUCCAGCUGGCUCAGAAUGUAAGAGCUGUAGGAUACUGAAGUACUCCUGGCAUCAGUUGCCUGCUUCACUGUUCCAAAUGAUGCUAUAUUGUGAUCAGAGAUCGGAACUACACAGUGAGGGGUAAUCUUGCCACAAAGAAA